UCCGAGUGGCCAUCCUGUGGACAAAAACACGAAAAUCAUUCUGUCAUUUUACUCGAUGGGACGAAUGGAGAGCGUAUGGGGAAAAGAUUGCUUGGAGUUCAAGCCAGAGAGAUGGAUUUCGGAAAGGGGAGGGAUAAAACAUGAGCCAUCAUACAAGUUUCCGGCGUUUAAUGCGGGGCCAAGGACUUGUAUAGGUAAAGAAAUGGCAUUUACCCAGAUGAAAAUAGUUGCCACAGCCAUCAUACAUGCCUACAAAAUUGAAGUUGUGGAAGGGCACCCUAUAGCCCCAAGUGAUUCUAUUAUUCUGCAAAUGAAAUAUGGUUUGAAGGCCAGGUUAGCCAAAAGGAAUGUGUAGUAGUAUAGUAGUUAAGAGUUUUCUCUCAUGUGAAUUAUGAAGAGAAUUGUGUUAGUUGCAACUUUGUCAUGUGUUGUGAAGUUUGUGUAAUAAAAUAACCAGUUAUUUAUUGUUUGUUUUGGUAGUCAAAUUUAAAUUAUUGAUUAUAAUAUCUAAUACAACUGCUGAAAUAUCAAGACAUCAAUCAAUACAAGAAAUAUCAAUUAGAAUGAUUAUCUUAUGUUUCUUUAAUCUUAAAUUUUCAGCAAUUUUAUUUUUCAUUAGGAGUAGGUUGAAAGUUGAAACCAUAGUUAUUAGAAACGCUGAUCGAUUUGGGUAUGCAAAAUGCUAAUCCAAUAACUACUAGAUUAGAUUUAAUAGGAGAGGAGAGGAGUAAAAGUCCUAUCUGCAAUUAGACUUCAUAAAUAGUAUCGUAUUUUAACAUAAUCAAAAUUUUCUAGUGAAACUGUAUCUAAUUAAGAUGUUGACAAGUUAAGAAUGAAUUGUUAUCCAAUUGAUAAAAGGACUCUCUCUUGAUGUCAUGUCAAGCGAUAUUGGACUACUUUUUAUGUAACUAACGAUCUAACAUAAUAACAUGUCACACGUUAAGAUUACAUCUUCAAUGCUAAAGCUCCCUCGAUCUUUUAUCAUCUCUCCUCAUUUUAAAUAUAAAAUUGAACAUUUCUGAAUCUAUGAAAUCCCAAUUUUAUGAGGGAAUGCUAAAUGCCAAACCCAAGUCCAAUUAACCUCUACAAAAUCUUAAAAAAAUGAAUCAUUUUCCAUAUUGAUAUACCCUAACUCAGAAAUCAAUUGAAUAAGGAGACUUCUAUAUAUAUUGAAAUCUAAAAGCCCCUCAAUUGUAAAUAUAUACAAGCAUGAACAAUGCAUAUUUGCAGCUGAAAACCCAAUAAGCACAAUAUGUUCCUCUUAUAUCAUGAAGAAUUAGAAGUCGAUCACUCUUUAUGGUUAUUCCACCAAUUAUUCCAAACUGUUGAAUUUUGUUCUUCAAGAGUCAAUAAAUACAAGAGGAAUAAUUGAAGAAACCCAGAAAACAAAAUCAAUCCUUUCAAUAUAUAGAUGCAAUUUCCAUUGGUUUCCACAGAAUCUAUGAGAACCCAAAUGAAACAAAAAAAAACAAUGGGGGAAAGAUGAGGGGAACCAACAAUACUACUACUAAUAAAUUACUAGCAGCUGCUUCUCUAGCAAUAUUUCAUAUUUUAGAGAAACAACUUUAUUUGGGCAUUUAAUCGAACACCUAGCAUGCAUGCUUAAAAAAGACUUGGUUUUACAUACCUCUCCAUAUCCAAUUACCUCCUUAUAACACCUGAGCCCUUCAUGGUUCCAAUAUUUCAUCCUUCCACAACCAAUUUCAGUCACAAUUUAACAAUUAAAGUUCAUAAUUUCUUUGAAAUUUAAGAAAGUAUAUUACUUUUUUUUUGUUAGAGACUUGGUUGAAUUCUUUUUCUUUUUUUUGCCAUUCUUGAUUUCAUAUUCGGAAAGCUGAACGGACUUGUCAGGCUUCGAUGAUCGGACCACAAUUAGCUGUUCGAUUAGCUUGUCAAGAGCUGCAGGAUCCAAUUUUUUUCCCCCUGCUCUGUUUUUUUUCCCUUCUAAAUGUAACGCUUUUCUUGGUUUUCCAGAUCCUUAAAAUUGAACUUUGAAUAAAAGUCUAAUCUUCUUCAAAGACCAUGAAAUUCCAUUUCUAUUGAGAGCAAAGUGGUGGGAGUGAGGAGAGAAUAUAUUUGGCCAAAAAAUGUCUCUCCAGUGACUUCAGACUUUUUGCUCAUUUAAGCAAUUAAAAGGAACAAGUGCCCCUUUCUUAAUACCGAGCUGGU
Molecule: long non-coding RNA, 2169 nt
Filed under: Panax ginseng (ginseng)
Lineage: Eukaryota; Viridiplantae; Streptophyta; Magnoliopsida; Apiales; Araliaceae
Description: long non-coding RNA (PGIN_LNC005823)
Source: RNAcentral